This 497-nucleotide ribosomal RNA is filed under the name uncultured bacterium. RNAcentral describes it as "partial 16S ribosomal RNA". It matches the Rfam family "Bacterial small subunit ribosomal RNA", at positions 28 to 507 of the family's 1533-position model. The record is from RNAcentral.
GAUGAACGCUGGCGGCGUGCCUAAUACAUGCAAGUCGAGCGAACAGACGAGGAGCUUGCUCCUCUGACGUUAGCGGCGGACGGGUGAGUAACACGUGGAUAACCUACCUAUAAGACUUGGAUAACUUCGGGAAACCGGAGCUAAUACCGGAUAAUAUAUUGAACCGCAUGGUUCAAUAGUGAAAGACGGUUUUGCUGUCACUUAUAGAUGGAUCCGCGCCGCAUUAGCUAGUUGGUAAGGUAACGGCUUACCAAGGCAACGAUGCGUAGCCGACCUGAGAGGGUGAUCGGCCACACUGGAACUGAGACACGGUCCAGACUCCUACGGGAGGCAGCAGUGGGGAAUCUUCCGCAAUGGGCGAAAGCCUGACGGAGCAACGCCGCGUGAGUGAUGAAGGUCUUCGGAUCGUAAAACUCUGUUAUUAGGGAAGAAAAAAUGUGUAAGUAACUAUGCACGUCUUGACGGUACCUAAUCAGAAAGCCACGGCUAACUACGUG